UUAAGCGACUAAGCGUACACGGUGGAUGCCCUGGCAGUCAGAGGCGAUGAAGGACGUGCUAAUCUGCGAUAAGCGUCGGUAAGGUGAUAUGAACCGUUAUAACCGGCGAUUUCCGAAUGGGGAAACCCAGUGUGUUUCGACACACUAUCAUUAACUGAAUCCAUAGGUUAAUGAGGCGAACCGGGGGAACUGAAACAUCUAAGUACCCCGAGGAAAAGAAAUCAACCGAGAUUCCCCCAGUAGCGGCGAGCGAACGGGGAGCAGCCCAGAGCCUGAAUCAGUGUGUGUGUUAGUGGAAGCGUCUGGAAAGGCGCGCGAUACAGGGUGACAGCCCCGUACACAAAAAUGCACAUAUUGUGAGCUCGAUGAGUAGGGCGGGACACGUGGUAUCCUGUCUGAAUAUGGGGGGCCCAUCCUCCAAGGCUAAAUACUCCUGACUGACCGAUAGUGAACCAGUACCGUGAGGGAAAGGCGAAAAGAACCCCGGCGAGGGGAGUGAAAAAGAACCUGAAACCGUGUACGUACAAGCAGUGGGAGCACGCUUAGGCGUGUGACUGCGUACCUUUUGUAUAAUGGGUCAGCGACUUAUAUUCUGUAGCAAGGUUAACCGAAUAGGGGAGCCGAAGGGAAACCGAGUCUUAACUGGGCGUUAAGUUGCAGGGUAUAGACCCGAAACCCGGUGAUCUAGCCAUGGGCAGGUUGAAGGUUGGGUAACACUAACUGGAGGACCGAACCGACUAAUGUUGAAAAAUUAGCGGAUGACUUGUGGCUGGGGGUGAAAGGCCAAUCAAACCGGGAGAUAGCUGGUUCUCCCCGAAAGCUAUUUAGGUAGCGCCUCGUGAAUUCAUCUCCGGGGGUAGAGCACUGUUUCGGCAAGGGGGUCAUCCCGACUUACCAACCCGAUGCAAACUGCGAAUACCGGAGAAUGUUAUCACGGGAGACACACGGCGGGUGCUAACGUCCGUCGUGAAGAGGGAAACAACCCAGACCGCCAGCUAAGGUCCCAAAGUCAUGGUUAAGUGGGAAACGAUGUGGGAAGGCCCAGACAGCCAGGAUGUUGGCUUAGAAGCAGCCAUCAUUUAAAGAAAGCGUAAUAGCUCACUGGUCGAGUCGGCCUGCGCGGAAGAUGUAACGGGGCUAAACCAUGCACCGAAGCUGCGGCAGCGACGCUUAUGCGUUGUUGGGUAGGGGAGCGUUCUGUAAGCCUGCGAAGGUGUGCUGUGAGGCAUGCUGGAGGUAUCAGAAGUGCGAAUGCUGACAUAAGUAACGAUAAAGCGGGUGAAAAGCCCGCUCGCCGGAAGACCAAGGGUUCCUGUCCAACGUUAAUCGGGGCAGGGUGAGUCGACCCCUAAGGCGAGGCCGAAAGGCGUAGUCGAUGGGAAACAGGUUAAUAUUCCUGUACUUGGUGUUACUGCGAAGGGGGGACGGAGAAGGCUAUGUUGGCCGGGCGACGGUUGUCCCGGUUUAAGCGUGUAGGCUGGUUUUCCAGGCAAAUCCGGAAAAUCAAGGCUGAGGCGUGAUGACGAGGCACUACGGUGCUGAAGCAACAAAUGCCCUGCUUCCAGGAAAAGCCUCUAAGCAUCAGGUAACAUCAAAUCGUACCCCAAACCGACACAGGUGGUCAGGUAGAGAAUACCAAGGCGCUUGAGAGAACUCGGGUGAAGGAACUAGGCAAAAUGGUGCCGUAACUUCGGGAGAAGGCACGCUGAUAUGUAGGUGAAGUCCCUUGCGGAUGGAGCUGAAAUCAGUCGAAGAUACCAGCUGGCUGCAACUGUUUAUUAAAAACACAGCACUGUGCAAACACGAAAGUGGACGUAUACGGUGUGACGCCUGCCCGGUGCCGGAAGGUUAAUUGAUGGGGUCAGCGCAAGCGAAGCUCUUGAUCGAAGCCCCGGUAAACGGCGGCCGUAACUAUAACGGUCCUAAGGUAGCGAAAUUCCUUGUCGGGUAAGUUCCGACCUGCACGAAUGGCGUAAUGAUGGCCAGGCUGUCUCCACCCGAGACUCAGUGAAAUUGAACUCGCUGUGAAGAUGCAGUGUACCCGCGGCAAGACGGAAAGACCCCGUGAACCUUUACUAUAGCUUGACACUGAACAUUGAGCCUUGAUGUGUAGGAUAGGUGGGAGGCUUUGAAGUGUGGACGCCAGUCUGCAUGGAGCCGGCCUUGAAAUACCACCCUUUAAUGUUUGAUGUUCUAACGUGGACCCGUGAUCCGGGUUGCGGACAGUGUCUGGUGGGUAGUUUGACUGGGGCGGUCUCCUCCUAAAGAGUAACGGAGGAGCACGAAGGUUGGCUAAUCCUGGUCGGACAUCAGGAGGUUAGUGCAAUGGCAUAAGCCAGCUUGACUGCGAGCGUGACGGCGCGAGCAGGUGCGAAAGCAGGUCAUAGUGAUCCGGUGGUUCUGAAUGGAAGGGCCAUCGCUCAACGGAUAAAAGGUACUCCGGGGAUAACAGGCUGAUACCGCCCAAGAGUUCAUAUCGACGGCGGUGUUUGGCACCUCGAUGUCGGCUCAUCACAUCCUGGGGCUGAAGUAGGUCCCAAGGGUAUGGCUGUUCGCCAUUUAAAGUGGUACGCGAGCUGGGUUUAGAACGUCGUGAGACAGUUCGGUCCCUAUCUGCCGUGGGCGCUGGAGAACUGAGGGGGGCUGCUCCUAGUACGAGAGGACCGGAGUGGACGCAUCACUGGUGUUCGGGUUGUCAUGCCAAUGGCACUGCCCGGUAGCUAAAUGCGGAAGAGAUAAGUGCUGAAAGCAUCUAAGCACGAAACUUGCCCCGAGAUGAGUUCUCCCUGACCCUUUAAGGGUCCUGAAGGAACGUUGAAGACGACGACGUUGAUAGGCCGGGUGUGUAAGCGCAGCGAUGCGUUGAGCUAACCGGUACUAAUGAACCGUGAGGCUUAACCUU
RNAcentral lists this ribosomal RNA (2902 nucleotides) under Shigella sonnei. RNAcentral's name for it is "bacterial LSU rRNA". It matches the Rfam family "Bacterial large subunit ribosomal RNA". The record is from RNAcentral. Lineage: Bacteria; Pseudomonadati; Pseudomonadota; Gammaproteobacteria; Enterobacterales; Enterobacteriaceae.